UACAUCUUGGUGUAUAGUGCACUCUGGUUUUUGAUGCUUGGCGGGGGUGGUUCAAUUCCAUCUGGUGUAA
This 70-nucleotide transfer RNA is filed under the name Odontotermes sp. BDIT085. RNAcentral describes it as "tRNA-Gln". The record is from RNAcentral. Lineage: Eukaryota; Metazoa; Arthropoda; Insecta; Blattodea; Termitidae.